GGCAUAUUAGUCUAAUGGCUAGGACACAACACUUUCAAUGUUGGGAUGGCGAGUUCAAUUCUCCCAUAUGUCACCA
This 76-nucleotide transfer RNA is filed under the name Caudoviricetes sp. RNAcentral describes it as "tRNA-Glu". It matches the Rfam family "tRNA". From Rfam's summary of the family: Transfer RNA (tRNA) molecules are approximately 80 nucleotides in length. Their secondary structure includes four short double-helical elements and three loops (D, anti-codon, and T loops). The record is from RNAcentral. Lineage: Duplodnaviria; Heunggongvirae; Uroviricota; Caudoviricetes.